GCCUACUGAACAAAUUGAGGC
Molecule: small nuclear RNA, 21 nt
Filed under: Arabidopsis thaliana (thale cress)
Lineage: Eukaryota; Viridiplantae; Streptophyta; Magnoliopsida; Brassicales; Brassicaceae
Description: snRNA_12426
Source: RNAcentral